AUUGAACGCUGGCGGCAGGCCUAACACAUGCAAGUCGAGCGGAUGAAGGGAGCUUGCUCCUGGAUUCAGCGGCGGACGGGUGAGUAAUGCCUAGGAAUCUGCCUGGUAGUGGGGGAUAACGUCCGCAAACGGGCGCUAAUACCGCAUACGUCCUGAGGGAGAAAGUGGGGGAUCUUCGGACCUCACGCUCUCAGAUGAGCCUAGGUCGGAUUAGAUAGUUGGUGGGGUAAAGGCCUACCAAGGCGACGAUCCGUAACUGGUCUGAGAGGAUGAUCAGUCACACUGGAACUGAGACACGGUCCAGACUACUAAGGGAGGCAGCAGUGGGGAAUAUUGGACAAUGGGCGAAAGCCUGAUCCAGCCAUGCCGCGUGUGUGAAGAAGGUCUUCGGAUUGUAAAGCACUUUAAGUUGGGAGGAAGGGCAGUAAGUUAAUACCUUGCUGUUUUGACGUUACCAACAGAAUAAGCACCGGCUAACUUCGUG
This 484-nucleotide ribosomal RNA is filed under the name uncultured bacterium. Its description in RNAcentral is "partial 16S ribosomal RNA". It matches the Rfam family "Bacterial small subunit ribosomal RNA", at positions 30 to 507 of the family's 1533-position model. The record is from RNAcentral.